GAUGAACGCUGGCGGCGUGCUUAACACAUGCAAGUCGAACGUGAAGCGAAGAUUGAAUACUUCGGUAGGAUUUCUUUGUGAAAAGUGGCGAACGGGUGAGUAACACGUAGGUGACCUGCCUCGUAGUGGGGGACAACCAUUGGAAACGAUGGCUAAUACCGCAUGGUUCUGUCGGUAUGGGAAUGCCGAUAGAUAAAGCCUUAGGGCGCUAUGAGAGGGGCCUGCGUCCGAUUAGCUAGUUGGUGGGGUAAAGGCCCACCAAGGCAUUGAUCGGUAGCUGGUCUGAGAGGACGAUCAGCCACAUGGGAACUGAGACACGGUCCCAACUCCUACGGGGGGCAGCAGUGAGGAAUAUUGCACAAUGGGGGAAACCCUGAUGCAGCAACGCCGCGUGAAGGAUGAAGGUUCUUGGAUCGUAAACUUCUUUUCUGAGGGAAGAGAAAGGACGGUACCUCAGGAAUAAGUCACGGCUAACUACG
Molecule: ribosomal RNA, 479 nt
Filed under: uncultured Caldilineaceae bacterium
Lineage: Bacteria; Bacillati; Chloroflexota; Caldilineae; Caldilineales; Caldilineaceae
Description: bacterial SSU rRNA
Rfam family: Bacterial small subunit ribosomal RNA
Source: RNAcentral